AGUGGCGCACGGGUGAGUAACGCGUGGGAAUCUGCCCCUGAGUGGAGAAUACCUUCGAGAAAUCGAGGUUAAUACUGCAUAAGCCUGUAUCUGAAGAGGUAUAGGGAAAGAAGGCCUAUAAGCUUUCGCUGAGGGAUGAGCCUGCGUACUAUUAGCUAGUUGGUGGGGUAAGAGCCUACCAAGGCGAAGAUGGUUAGCCGGCCUGAGAGGGUGACCGGCCACAAUGGAAAUGAGAGACGGUCCAUACUCCUACGGGAGGCAGCAGUGGGGAAUAUUGCACAAUGGGCGCAAGCCUGAUGCAGCGACGCCGCGUGGAGGAAGAAGGUUUUCGGAUUGUAAACUCCUGUUAAGUGGGAAGAAAAGCUACGGGGUAAUAUCCCGUAGUGUUGACAGUACCAUUAGAGAAAGCACCGGCAAACUUCGUGCCAGCAGCCGCGGUAAGACGAAGGGUGCAAGCGUUAUUCGGAGUAACUGGGCGUAAAGAGCGUGAAGGCGGUCUGCUAAGUUAGAUGUUAAAUACCACGGCAUAACUGUGGCGAUGCAUCUGAAACUGGUGGACUAGAGCACAAGAGAGAGAAGUGGAAUUCCCGGAGUAGCGGUAAAAUGCGUAGAUCUCGGGAGGAACACCGGUGGCGAAGGCGGCUUCUUGGCUUGUGGCUGACGCUAAAGCGCGAAAGCGUGGGGAGCAAACAGGAUUAGAUACCCUGGUAGUCCACGCUGUAAACGAUGAUCACUGGAUGUGGGCACUGCGAAGCAGGGUCUGUGUCGAAGCUAACGCGUUAAGUGAUCCGCCUGGGAAGUACGGUCGCAAGAUUAAAACUCAAAGGAAUUGACGGGGGUCCGCACAAGCGGUGGAACAUGUGGUUUAAUUCGACACUACGCGAGGAACCUUACCUGGGUUUGACAUGCAACUGCUACUGAUAGAAAUAUUGGGUUUGGUAGAAAUACCGACGGUUGCACAGGUGCUGCAUGGCUGUCGUCAGCUCGUGUCGUGAGAUGUUGGGUUAAGUCCUUUAACGAGCGCAACCCCUACUGUUAGUUGCUCAUUACGCAAGUAGUAGCACUCUAAUGGGACUGCCUGGGAAACCAGGAGGAAGGUGGGGAUGACGUCAAGUCCGCAUGGCCCUUAUAUCCAGGGCGACACACGUGUUACAAUGGCGAGUACAAAGGGAAGCAAAGCCGCGAGGUGGAGCGAAUCUCAUAAAGCUCGUCUAAGUUGGGAUUGAAGUCUGCAACCCGACUUCAUGAACCUGAAAUCGCUAGUAAUCGCAUAUCAGAACGAUGCGGUGAUACGUUCUCGGGCCUUGUACACACCGCCCGUCACACCACGAAAGCCGUCCGCACCCGAA
This 1349-nucleotide ribosomal RNA is filed under the name uncultured Candidatus Babelota bacterium. Its description in RNAcentral is "uncultured candidate division TM6 bacterium 16S ribosomal RNA". It matches the Rfam family "Bacterial small subunit ribosomal RNA", at positions 94 to 1425 of the family's 1533-position model. The record is from RNAcentral.